GAUGAACGCUAGCUACAGGCUUAACACAUGCAAGUCGAGGGGAAACGAUAGAGAAAGCUUGCUUUUUCUAGGCGUCGACCGGCGCACGGGUGAGUAACGCGUAUCCAACCUGCCCAUCACUUGGGAUAACCCUGCGAAAGUAAGACUAAUACCCAAUGAUAUCUCUAGAAGACAUCUGAAAGGGAUUAAAGAUUUAUCGGUGAUGGAUGGGGAUGCGUCUGAUUAGCUUGUUGGCGGGGUAACGGCCCACCAAGGCGACGGUCAGUAGGGGUUCUGAGAGGAAGGUACCCCACAUUGGAACUGAGACACGGUCCAAACUCCUACGGGAGGCAGCAGUGAGGAAUAUUGGUCAAUGGGCGAGAGCCUGAACCAGCCAAGUAGCGUGCAGGAUGACGGCCCUAUGGGUUGUAAACUGCUUUUAUAAGGGAAUAAAGUGAGUCUCGUGAGACUUUUUGCAUGUACCUUAUGAAUAAGGACCGGCUAAUUCCGUGCCAGCAGCCGCAGUAA
This 507-nucleotide ribosomal RNA is filed under the name uncultured bacterium. RNAcentral describes it as "partial 16S ribosomal RNA". It matches the Rfam family "Bacterial small subunit ribosomal RNA", at positions 28 to 523 of the family's 1533-position model. The record is from RNAcentral.